AUUGAACGCUGGCGGCAGGCUUAACACAUGCAAGUCGAACGAGUGGCGGACGGGUGAGUAAUGCUUGGGAAUCUAGCUUAUGGAGGGGGAUAACUACGGGAAACUGUAGCUAAUACCGCGUACCAUAGGAUGAGCCCAAGUGGGAUUAGGUAGUUGGUGAGGUAAAGGCUCACCAAGCCGACGAUCGCUAGCUGGUCUGAGAGGAUGAUCAGCCAAACUGGGACUGAGACACGGCCCAGACUCCUACGGGAGGCAGCAGUGGGGAAUAUUGCACAAUGGGCGCAAGCUGAUGCAGCCAUGCCGCGUGUAUGAAGAAGUCCUUCGGGUUGUAAAGUUCUUUCGGUAGCGAGGCGUUAACUACAGAAGAAGCACCGGCUAACUCCGUGUCAGCAGCCGCGGUAAUUC
RNAcentral lists this ribosomal RNA (405 nucleotides) under uncultured bacterium. Its description in RNAcentral is "partial 16S ribosomal RNA". It matches the Rfam family "Bacterial small subunit ribosomal RNA", at positions 30 to 526 of the family's 1533-position model. The record is from RNAcentral.